AUUGAACGCUGGCGGCAUGCCUUACACAUGCAAGUCGAACGGCAGCAUGAUCUAGCUUGCUAGAUUGAUGGCGAGUGGCGAACGGGUGAGUAAUACAUCGGAACGUGCCCUGUAGUGGGGGAUAACUAGUCGAAAGAUUAGCUAAUACCGCAUACGACCUGAGGGUGAAAGUGGGGGACCGCAAGGCCUCGUGCUAUAGGAGCGGCCGAUGUCUGAUUAGCUAGUUGGUGAGGUAAAGGCUCACCAAGGCGACGAUCAGUAGCUGGUCUGAGAGGACGAUCAGCCACACUGGGACUGAGACACGGCCCAGACUCCUACGGGAGGCAGCAGUGGGGAAUUUUGGACAAUGGGCGAAAGCCUGAUCCAGCAAUGCCGCGUGUGUGAAGAAGGCCUUCGGGUUGUAAAGCACUUUUGUCCGGAAAGAAAUGGCUCUGGUUAAUACCUGGGGUCGAUGACGGUACCGGAAGAAUAAGGACCGGCUAACUACGUG
This 490-nucleotide ribosomal RNA is filed under the name uncultured bacterium. RNAcentral's name for it is "partial 16S ribosomal RNA". It matches the Rfam family "Bacterial small subunit ribosomal RNA", at positions 30 to 507 of the family's 1533-position model. The record is from RNAcentral.